This 205-nucleotide ribosomal RNA is filed under the name Trichomonas vaginalis G3. Its description in RNAcentral is "5.8S ribosomal RNA". The stretch from base 1 to 137 matches the Rfam family "Eukaryotic small subunit ribosomal RNA", at positions 1671 to 1831 of the family's 1831-position model. Lineage: Eukaryota; Parabasalia; Trichomonadida; Trichomonadidae. The record is from RNAcentral.
GCCCGUCGCUCCUACCGAUUGGAUGACUCGGUGAAAUCACCGGAUGCUUACGAGCAGAAAGUGAUUAAAUCACGUUAUCUAGAGGAAGGAGAAGUCGUAACAAGGUAACGGUAGGUGAACCUGCCGUUGGAUCAGUUCUAGUUUUAAUAACUAACACCAACUUCUUUAUAAACAAAACAUACAAAUUAAAACUACUUCAUCAAAA